AAAUUGAAGAGUUUGAUCAUGGCUCAGAUUGAACGCUGGCGGCAGGCCUAACACAUGCAAGUCGAACGGUAACAGGAAACAGCUUGCUGUUUCGCUGACGAGUGGCGGACGGGUGAGUAAUGUCUGGGAAACUGCCUGAUGGAGGGGGAUAACUACUGGAAACGGUAGCUAAUACCGCAUAACGUCGCAAGACCAAAGAGGGGGGACCUUAGGGCCUCUUGCCAUCGGAUGUGCCCAGAUGGGAUUAGCUAGUAGGUGGGGUAA
Molecule: ribosomal RNA, 264 nt
Filed under: Escherichia coli
Lineage: Bacteria; Pseudomonadati; Pseudomonadota; Gammaproteobacteria; Enterobacterales; Enterobacteriaceae
Description: partial 16S ribosomal RNA
Rfam family: Bacterial small subunit ribosomal RNA
Source: RNAcentral